Molecule: unclassified non-coding RNA, 305 nt
Filed under: plant metagenome
Description: partial contains 5.8S ribosomal RNA, internal transcribed spacer 2, and large subunit ribosomal RNA
Rfam family: 5.8S ribosomal RNA (bases 1-105)
Source: RNAcentral
GAAAUGCGAUAAGUAGUGUGAAUUGCAGAAUUCAGUGAAUCAUCGAAUCUUUGAACGCACAUUGCGCCCUUUGGCAUUCCGAAGGGCAUGCCUGUUCGAGCGUCAUCUAAACCUUCAAGCCCUGCUUGGUGUUGGGUGCCUGUCCCGCCUCCGCGCGCGGACUCACCUCAAAUCCAUUGGCGGCCCCCGCGUCGGCCACGAGCGCAGCAGAAACGCGAACUCGUGAGCCCGUCCGGGCGGCUCCCAGAAGCUACACCCACCCAGUUUGACCUCGGAUCAGGUAGGGAUACCCGCUGAACUUAAGC